RNAcentral lists this ribosomal RNA (305 nucleotides) under uncultured bacterium. Its description in RNAcentral is "bacterial SSU rRNA". It matches the Rfam family "Bacterial small subunit ribosomal RNA", at positions 337 to 655 of the family's 1533-position model. The record is from RNAcentral.
UCCCUACGGGACGCAGCAGUGGGGAAUAUUGCGCAAUGGGGGAAACCCUGACGCAGCGACGCCGCGUGAGUGAAGAAGUAUUUCGGUAUGUAAAGCUCUGUCAGCAGGGAAGAAAGCAAUGACGGUACCUGACCAAGAAGCCCCGGCUAACUACGUGCCAGCAGCCGCGGUAAUACGUAGGGGGCAAGCGUUAUCCGGAAUUACUGGGUGUAAAGGGAGCGUAGACGGCUGUGCAAGUCUGGAGUGAAAGGCGGGGGCCCAACCCCCGGACUGCUCUGGAAACUGUAUGGCUGGAGUGCGGGAGG